AUGGAUGCCCUGCUGGUUUAGCCCCAUAAAAGAAACUGAAGCUUUAUGGCUACUCAAUCAAGCCUCUCAAGGAAAAGGAAGCGCAAAUGCACUUUGAGAAGACGGCCACACGAACACGGCAGGCAACAGGGAGUCUCUAUCUCAAGCCCUCAAAAACCACUGGCAAUUUUUCAAAAAAAAAAUCACUGGCCAUGAUGCAAAUCUAAGCUUAAAUUAUCACCAUAUAUCCUAUAAACAUAGUACCACCUAAUCAGAAUUCGGGGGAAAAUGGAGAGAAAUUUGAGUUGUAAAUCUUUUUGGUAGGGAAAUUCCAGGCCAUCUUUGUUGUCUAGUUUCGGUGGAUUCAAUAACCGGAGGUUGAUUCAAUCGACGGUCCAAAAUGUACGUCCCCCCUUGACUUGUCGUGUAGAUCUUCACACCACAU
Molecule: long non-coding RNA, 424 nt
Filed under: Setaria viridis
Lineage: Eukaryota; Viridiplantae; Streptophyta; Magnoliopsida; Poales; Poaceae
Description: long non-coding RNA (SVIR_LNC008255)
Source: RNAcentral